Molecule: small nucleolar RNA, 130 nt
Organism: Pteronotus mesoamericanus
Lineage: Eukaryota; Metazoa; Chordata; Mammalia; Chiroptera; Mormoopidae
Product: small nucleolar RNA SNORA38
Exons: 1
Source: RefSeq, a predicted model, not a curated record
CCCUCCUACAAAGGCAUGUCUGUGGUUCUGUCCUCAGACACGGCAGAAGUGAAGGCAGGGAAGUGGACUUGGAGAAGCCUUGGAGAAGCAGCGUGCUUCCGGCAGGCUCAAGAUCAACCUUCUCACAUGU